GUGCCAGCAGCCGCGGUAAUACGUAGGUGGCAAGCGUUAUCCGGAAUUAUUGGGCGUAAAGCGCGCGUAGGCGGUUUUUUAAGUCUGAUGUGAAAGCCCACGGCUCAACCGUGGAGGGUCAUUGGAAACUGGAAAACUUGAGUGCAGAAGAGGAAAGUGGAAUUCCAUGUGUAGCGGUGAAAUGCGCAGAGAUAUGGAGGAACGCCAGUGGCGAAGGCGACUUUCGUGGUCUGUAACUGACGCUGAUGUGCGAAAGCGUGGGGAUCAAACAGGAUUAGAUAC
This 282-nucleotide ribosomal RNA is filed under the name uncultured Staphylococcus sp. Its description in RNAcentral is "partial 16S ribosomal RNA". It matches the Rfam family "Bacterial small subunit ribosomal RNA", at positions 505 to 785 of the family's 1533-position model. The record is from RNAcentral. Lineage: Bacteria; Bacillati; Bacillota; Bacilli; Caryophanales; Staphylococcaceae.